CACAUGCAGUCGAGCGGUAGAGAGAAGCUUGCUUCUCUUGAGAGCGGCGGACGGGUGAGUAAUGCCUAGGAAUCUGCCUGGUAGUGGGGGAUAACGUUCGGAAACGGACGCUAAUACCGCAUACGUCCUACGGGAGAAAGCAGGGGACCUUCGGGCCUUGCGCUAUCAGAUGAGCCUAGGUCGGAUUAGCUAGUUGGUGAGGUAAUGGCUCACCAAGGCGACGAUCCGUAACUGGUCUGAGAGGAUGAUCAGUCACACUGGAACUGAGACACGGUCCAGACUCCUACGGGAGGCAGCAGUGGGGAAUAUUGGACAAUGGGCGAAAGCCUGAUCCAGCCAUGCCGCGUGUGUGAAGAAGGUCUUCGGAUUGUAAAGCACUUUAAGUUGGGAGGAAGGGCAGUUACCUAAUACGUGAUUGUUUUGACGUUACCGACAGAAUAAGCACCGGCUAACUCUGUGCCAGCAGCCGCGGUAAUACAGAGGGUGCAAGCGUUAAUCGGAAUUACUGGGCGUAAAGCGCGCGUAGGUGGUUAGUUAAGUUGGAUGUGAAAUCCCCGGGCUCAACCUGGGAACUGCAUUCAAAACUGACUGACUAGAGUAUGGUAGAGGGUGGUGGAAUUUCCUGUGUAGCGGUGAAAUGCGUAGAUAUAGGAAGGAACACCAGUGGC
RNAcentral lists this ribosomal RNA (668 nucleotides) under bacterium amp-w-77. Its description in RNAcentral is "bacterial SSU rRNA". It matches the Rfam family "Bacterial small subunit ribosomal RNA", at positions 52 to 716 of the family's 1533-position model. The record is from RNAcentral.